UACGGAGGGUGCGAGCGUUAUCCGGAAUUACUGGGUUUAAAGGGUGCGUAGGCGGCUAUGUAAGUCAGGAGUGAAAGUUUGCGGCUCAACCGUAAAAUUGCUUUUGAUACUGCAUGGCUAGAAUCAGGAUGAGGCUAGCGGAAUGUGGCAUGUAGCGGUGAAAUGCGUAGAUAUUCGUAGGAACACCAAUGGCGAAGGCAGCUUGCUGGGCUACUCCUGACACUGAGGUACGAAAGCGUGGGGAGCAAACAGG
This 253-nucleotide ribosomal RNA is filed under the name uncultured bacterium. RNAcentral describes it as "partial 16S ribosomal RNA". It matches the Rfam family "Bacterial small subunit ribosomal RNA", at positions 524 to 776 of the family's 1533-position model. The record is from RNAcentral.